UACAGAGGGGGCAAGCGUUGUUCGGAAUUACUGGGCGUAAAGGGCGCGUAGGCGGCCCGCUAAGUCGAACGUGAAAUCCCCGGGCUCAACCCGGGAACUGCGUCCGAUACUGGUGGGCUCGAAUCCGGGAGAGGGAUGCGGAAUUCCAGGUGUAGCGGUGAAAUGCGUAGAUAUCAGGAAGAACACCAAUGGCGAAGGCAGCUCUCUGGGACGGUACUGACGCUGAGACGCGAAAGCGUGGGGAGCGAACAGG
RNAcentral lists this ribosomal RNA (253 nucleotides) under uncultured bacterium. RNAcentral describes it as "partial 16S ribosomal RNA". It matches the Rfam family "Bacterial small subunit ribosomal RNA", at positions 524 to 776 of the family's 1533-position model. The record is from RNAcentral.